UUUAUUUUUGAUAUUUCCUCUCUGGUCUGGAGUCAAUGAUGUUGCUAUAAGAGGUGUCUGGUAGCCACAGGGUACGUGCCUGUUUGAUAUUGAUAAAGGAGUGUACAUAUCAAGGAAGCUAUUGUUUGCUGGUAUGCUGUUGAGAGUCAGUGGAUUGUGGACUAAAGGGGAAACUGUCAAGAGUGGAGUGCAUUGUGACUGGCUUUUUUGUUUUUUUUUUGUUUUUUGUUUUUGUUUUACUGUGUAUGUACAUUACACUCUGUUACUUUUGUAGACCUGUUUGAUGCAUGACAUUAUAAUUAUUGACAUUAUUAUUUUGCGUGUAUAUGUACAUGUACAAUUACAAUUUUACAUGUCUGUAAAUUGUGUUUAGAUCAGCCUCAUUGCAAUUCUUCCUAUUCAUGCAAGUCAGUUCAGAGAUAUGGGAGUUUGAUCCCAAUGGUGAUACUUACUUUGAUGAAGCAGUUGAUGGUUUUUGAAGGAUCUCUUCUCCGUUUGGAAGGUGUGAUUCCAUUGAUAAACUCCGUAAAAGGUGUGAGACCAUUAAUUGAGAGAUACAGGACUCACAACAGUUCAAGAACUUCUACCAGUUUACGUUUAAUGUUGCCAAAAACUUGGGGCAGAAAGGACUGGGCUAGUGACAUCUUGAGAUGGCCAUUGCCUACUGGAAUCUUAUUUUUACUGGUCGCUUCAAAUUUUUGGACUUGUGGUGUGAAUUUUUAAAAUCUCAUUAUAAAAGAGCUGGCAAUACCCAAAGGCACUUGGAACCUUCUGCUAGAGUUUUCUAACAGGAUUGAUGCACCAUGAGCAAUUAUGAUGAAGAUG
This is a long non-coding RNA of Amphimedon queenslandica, 825 nucleotides long. RefSeq lists it as uncharacterized. The transcript is spliced from 6 exons. NCBI's taxonomy places the organism in Eukaryota, Metazoa, Porifera, Demospongiae, Haplosclerida, Niphatidae. The record is from RefSeq and is a predicted model, not a curated record.